GACGAACGCUGGCGGCGUGCUUAACACAUGCAAGUCGAACGGAAAGGCCCUGCUUUUGUGGGGUGCUCGAGUGGCGAACGGGUGAGUAACACGUGAGUAACCUGCCCUUGACUUUGGGAUAACUUCAGGAAACUGGGGCUAAUACCGGAUAGGAGCUCCUGCUGCAUGGUGGGGGUUGGAAAGUUUCGGCGGUUGGGGAUGGACUCGCGGCUUAUCAGCUUGUUGGUGGGGUAGUGGCUUACCAAGGCUUUGACGGGUAGCCGGCCUGAGAGGGUGACCGGCCACAUUGGGACUGAGAUACGGCCCAGACUCCUACGGGAGGCAGCAGUGGGGAAUAUUGCACAAUGGGCGGAAGCCUGAUGCAGCAACGCCGCGUGCGGGAUGACGGCCUUCGGGUUGUAAACCGCUUUCGCCUGUGACGAAGCGUGAGUGACGGUAAUGGGUAAAGAAGCACCGGCUAACUACGUGCCAGCAGCCGCGGUGAUACGUAGGGUGCGAGCGUUGUCCGGAUUUAUUGGGCGUAAAGGGCUCGUAGGUGGUUGAUCGCGUCGGAAGUGUAAUCUUGGGGCUUAACCCUGAGCGUGCUUUCGAUACGGGUUGACUUGAGGAAGGUAGGGGAGAAUGGAAUUCCUGGUGGAGCGGUGGAAUGCGCAGAUAUCAGGAGGAACACCAGUGGCGAAGGCGGUUCUCUGGGCCUUUCCUGACGCUGAAGAGCGAAAGCGUGGGGAGCGAACAGGCUUAGAUACCCUGGUAGUCCACGCUGUAAACGGUGGGUACUAGGUGUGGGGUCCAUUCCACGGGUUCCGUGCCGUAGCUAACGCUUUAAGUACCCCGCCUGGGGAGUACGGCCGCAAGGCUAAAACUCAAAGGAAUUGACGGGGCCCCGCACAAGCGGCGGAGCAUGCGGAUUAAUUCGAUGCAACGCGUAGAACCUUACCUGGGUUUGACAUGGAUCGGGAGUGCUCAGAGAUGGGUGUGCCUCUUUUGGGGUCGGUUCACAGGUGGUGCAUGGCUGUCGUCAGCUCGUGUCGUGAGAUGUUGGGUUAAGUCCCGCAACGAGCGCAACCCUUGUUCACUGUUGCCAGCACGUUAUGGUGGGGACUCAGUGGAGACCGCCGGGGUCAACUCGGAGGAAGGUGGGGAUGACGUCAAGUCAUCAUGCCCCUUAUGUCCAGGGCUUCACGCAUGCUACAAUGGCUGGUACAGAGAGUGGCGAGCCUGUGAGGGUGAGCGAAUCUCGGAAAGCCGGUCUCAGUUCGGAUUGGGGUCUGCAACUCGACCUCAUGAAGUCGGAGUCGCUAGUAAUCGCAGAUCAGCAACGCUGCGGUGAAUACGUUCCCGGG
Molecule: ribosomal RNA, 1343 nt
Filed under: uncultured bacterium
Lineage: Bacteria
Description: 16S ribosomal RNA
Rfam family: Bacterial small subunit ribosomal RNA
Source: RNAcentral